CCAUGGCAGCCGCCGGGCCACACGCUGACUCCGCGCCUGACGAUCCCCCCCGGCUUCAUGGAGCCACAGAACCACUCAUGGAUUGGGCUGGAAGGGAGCUUAAAGAGCAUCCAGCUCCAACCCCCCUGCCAUGAUCAUGCUGUCUUUGCCCCUCUCCGCCUUUCCAGAGGAUCGCUAGGUUUGACUCCGUUUUCCGGCGGGGUUGGAAGAGGACAAGGACACUUCCACAGGGUCUGCCAGCCUCAAGCAGCGCCCGCGCUUCCCUCUGGCACCCAGAGGUUUUCCUGGAACAUCUUCCCACUGCUCCAUUAUCUCAGAUCCCUGAAGAUCUGGGAUACAGCACCUGAAUCAACCAAAGUGUGAGGACAAGAUGUGAACUGCUCUAGAUCCUGCCGAGGCUGAGCUGAGUGUUUUCCUACUCAAAGCAGCCCUUCGAAACCCACCAGCCCCAGCUCUGUUCCCAGGUAAAACUCCAGCCUCUGCUUUUCCAGCCAGACAUCUCCUGAGUGGUUCCUUAGUGUUUGUUCCCAGGUGACUGGCAGCAGGGCUGGGUCAGGAAUAAUUUGUCCCUGCUAGUCUGAUUUCUCCCUCCUGUGCUGCCCCUGGGAGCUGCUGCUGACUCCCAGCAGUCUGGAGGAUGGAGAACAGCGGCGCCAGGCCCUUCCCACAGCAGCCACAAAACCUGGAGAGCGGCCGGAUUCUCCCGAGAUCCCUCUGACAAGGUAUUGUUCCCAGCAAGUCACCACACCACGGAUCAAAUAAAGCAGUUUAUUUGGCAUAGACUGAACUGCAACAGAAAUUCCCGUGGAACAAAGCCUGGUUACACAAACUGAACGAGUGCAGUUAUGAGUCUCAGUUACACCUAACGACUAAACAAGGUAAAAAAAACCACAUUU
Long non-coding RNA from Parus major (Great Tit), 896 nucleotides. RefSeq lists it as uncharacterized. Lineage: Eukaryota; Metazoa; Chordata; Aves; Passeriformes; Paridae. The transcript is spliced from 2 exons. The record is from RefSeq and is a predicted model, not a curated record.